CUAGACUCCCUUCCUGGUUGCGCAGAGGGCUGUUGUCUGGGACUGUGAUCUGUUCUCUUCCAUUUCCCUGAGCUUCUGUAAGCAUACUUGCCUUCAGUCCUUAAACAGCUCCUACCGUGUGAUAUUUCUUUUGUGCUGUAACAAAUAAAGCUCACCUGAAGAUCACAGAGUGUGGAAAUAGCCACGUUGGUUAGCCAUAGAGGCCAGGCAGUGGAGGCACACACCUUUAAUCCCAUCACUCAGGAGACAGAAGCAGACGGAUCUCUGUGAGUUCAAGGCCAC
Long non-coding RNA from Alexandromys fortis (reed vole), 282 nucleotides. RefSeq lists it as uncharacterized. NCBI's taxonomy places the organism in Eukaryota, Metazoa, Chordata, Mammalia, Rodentia, Cricetidae. The record is from RefSeq and is a predicted model, not a curated record. The transcript has 3 exons.